UCAUGAAUUGUAGGUCCAAAUUCAGGA
Molecule: non-coding RNA, 27 nt
Filed under: Bombyx mori (domestic silkworm)
Lineage: Eukaryota; Metazoa; Arthropoda; Insecta; Lepidoptera; Bombycidae
Source: RNAcentral